Molecule: small RNA, 148 nt
Filed under: Callithrix jacchus (white-tufted-ear marmoset)
Lineage: Eukaryota; Metazoa; Chordata; Mammalia; Primates; Cebidae
Description: Metazoan signal recognition particle RNA (ENSCJAG00000085656.1)
Source: Rfam by way of RNAcentral
GCUGGGCGUGGUGGCGGGCGCCUGUAAUCCCAGCUACUUGGGAGGCUGAGGCAGGAGAAUCUCUUGAACCCAGGAGAUGGAGGUUGUAGUGAGCCAAGAUCAAGCCACUGCACUACAGCCUGGGCGACAGAGUGAGACUCUGCCUCAA